RNAcentral lists this transfer RNA (71 nucleotides) under Loxodonta africana (African savanna elephant). It matches the Rfam family "tRNA". From Rfam's summary of the family: Transfer RNA (tRNA) molecules are approximately 80 nucleotides in length. Their secondary structure includes four short double-helical elements and three loops (D, anti-codon, and T loops). The record is from Rfam by way of RNAcentral. Lineage: Eukaryota; Metazoa; Chordata; Mammalia; Proboscidea; Elephantidae.
GCAGUGGGGGUUCAGUGGUAGAAUUCUCGCCUUUCAGGUGGGAGGCCCAGGUUCAAUUCCCAGCCGGUGCA